This 520-nucleotide ribosomal RNA is filed under the name uncultured Glomus. RNAcentral's name for it is "SSU rRNA". It matches the Rfam family "Eukaryotic small subunit ribosomal RNA", at positions 569 to 1092 of the family's 1831-position model. The record is from RNAcentral. Lineage: Eukaryota; Fungi; Glomeromycota; Glomeromycetes; Glomerales; Glomeraceae.
CGCAGCCGCGGUAAUUCCAGCUCCAAUAGCGUAUAUUAAAGUUGUUGCAGUUAAAAAGCUCGUAGUUGAAUUUCGAGAUCAAAUUGUUGGUCGUGCCUUGGUACGUACUGGCAUUAUUGGUUUCUCCCUUCUGAAGAACCAUGAUGUCAUUAAUUUGGUGUCAUGGGGAAUCAGGACUGUUACUUUGAAAAAAUUAGAGUGUUUAAAGCAGGCUCGCGCUUGAAUACAUUAGCAUGGAAUAAUGAAAUAGGACGUUUAAUUCUAUUUUGUUGGUUUCUAGGGUUGACGUAAUGAUUAAUAGGGAUAGUUGGGGGCAUUAGUAUUCAAUUGUCAGAGGUGAAAUUCUUGGAUUUAUUGAAGACUAACUACUGCGAAAGCAUUUGCCAAGGAUGUUUUCAUUAAUCAAGAACGAAAGUUAGGGGAUCGAAGACGAUCAGAUACCGUCGUAGUCUUAACCAUAAACUAUGCCGACUAGGGAUCGGAUGAUGUUAAUUUUUAAUGACUCAUUCGGCGCCUUAAC